UCACCGGGUAGACAUUCAUUAUA
This 23-nucleotide microRNA is filed under the name Schmidtea mediterranea. RNAcentral's name for it is "Sme-Mir-36-P20b_3p (mature (guide))". Lineage: Eukaryota; Metazoa; Platyhelminthes; Tricladida; Dugesiidae. The record is from RNAcentral.